AGCAAACCGCCGAUGGCCCGCGCAAGCGGGAUCAGGUAAGGGUGAAAGGGUGCGGUAAGAGCGCACCGCGCGGCUGGUAACAGUCCGUGGCACGGUAAACUCCACCCGGAGCAAGGCCAAAUAGGGGUUCAUAAGGUACGGCCCGUACUGAACCCGGGUAGGCUGCUUGAGCCAGUGAGCGAUUGCUGGCCUAGAUGAAUGACUGUCCACGACAGAACCCGGCUUAUCGGUCAGUUUCACCU
This 242-nucleotide RNase P RNA is filed under the name Escherichia coli. Its description in RNAcentral is "partial RNase P RNA component class A". It matches the Rfam family "Bacterial RNase P class A", at positions 120 to 367 of the family's 367-position model. From Rfam's summary of the family: Ribonuclease P (RNase P) is a ubiquitous endoribonuclease, found in archaea, bacteria and eukarya as well as chloroplasts and mitochondria. Lineage: Bacteria; Pseudomonadati; Pseudomonadota; Gammaproteobacteria; Enterobacterales; Enterobacteriaceae. The record is from RNAcentral.